This 803-nucleotide ribosomal RNA is filed under the name uncultured fungus. Its description in RNAcentral is "eukaryotic LSU rRNA". The stretch from base 370 to 523 matches the Rfam family "5.8S ribosomal RNA". Lineage: Eukaryota; Fungi. The record is from RNAcentral.
UUGAGCACCUGUUUUCAACAAUCUCCCUUUUGGGCAGAGAAUGAGUUGGUUUUCAUUGAUGUCAGAUGGUGUUGUUUGGGAUGCUUCGGCGUCGACCUCUGCCAAUUACUUGCGGGCUCGUUUCUGCAGACAACUGUAUUUCUGUUUUUUUUACAAAAGGCAAAUCACUUUGGGUUUUGUGUAACAAUCCUUCAGCCUUGAUCCCCAAACAAGAUCGUGGGCUGUUGGUUUUAUUGUGACAAGACCAUUACAAAUUAACCUAUUUCACCACACCUUUUUGCUAGUUGACUUUUUAUAUGUUGUUCUAUUUCUCGAAUUUAUUUUUGAGAAGCAGUUCACACGUUUAUUUACUUGAACGUUAAAAAAUACAACUCUUAGCAAUGGAUAUCUUGGUUCUCGCAACGAUGAAGAACGCAGCGAAAUGCGAUACGUAAUGCGAAUUGCAGAAUUCAGUGAAUCAUCAAAUCUUUGAACGCAAAUUGCGCUCUUGGGUAGCCCUAGGAGCACGCCUCUCUCAGUAUCGGUUCAACAAUCUCUCAGCAGCGUGUUUGUGAAAAUAAAUUUAUUUAUUCUUGCAGAUGCGUGUUGGCUGGAUAAUGAGAGUCUGAGCACAAUAGAAUUUAUUUUUUAUAUAGCUCAGUCUCUUGAAAUACAUGGAAUAAACAUGACUAGCGAUCAGUUCAAUUGCUCAAUUUAUUGAGUGAUGGAUAGUCAGCUUCUGAGCUGUCGUUCGAUUAGUGACGUGAAUAUUGGCCUUUAUUGGUCUCUAACCUUUUACGUUUAUCUAAUUUCGUCUGACAAUU